GACGAACGCUGGCGGCGUGCUUAACACAUGCAAGUCGAACGGAAAGGCCCUGCUUUUGUGGGGUGCUCGAGUGGCGAAAGGGUGAGUAACACGUGAGUAACCUGCCCUUGACUUUGGGAUAACUUCAGGAAACUGAGGCUAAUACCGGAUAGGAGCUCCUGCUGCAUGGUGGGGGUUGGAAAGUUUCGGCGGUUGGGUAUGGACUCGCGGCUUAUCAGCUUGUUGGUGGGGUAGUGGCUUACCAAGGCUUUGACGGGUAGCCGGCCUGAGAGGGUGACCGGCCACAUUGGGACUGAGAUACGGCCCAGACUCCUACGGGAGGCAGCAGUGGGGAAUAUUGCACAAUGGGCGGAAGCCUGAUGCAGCAACGCCGCGUGCGGGAUGACGGCCUUCGGGUUGUAAACCGCUUUCGCCUGUGACGAAGCGUGAGUGACGGUAAUGGGUAAAGAAGCACCGGCUAACUACGUG
RNAcentral lists this ribosomal RNA (468 nucleotides) under uncultured bacterium. RNAcentral describes it as "partial 16S ribosomal RNA". It matches the Rfam family "Bacterial small subunit ribosomal RNA", at positions 28 to 507 of the family's 1533-position model. The record is from RNAcentral.